UGCAUGUGAAAGUAUAAAGUCCAAGAAGGAUGAAACUGCGAACGGCUCAUUAGAACAGUUAUAGUUUCUUCGAUUAGUAAGUACAAGGAUAGCUUUGUGAAUGAUAAAGAUAAUACUUGAGACGAUCUUGGAUGUAGAGACACAUUCAGGCCUUUGCAUCAUAUGAUGGUGUGAAGAGAAAGGAUAUCCAAACUGAAAGUGGGUAUCAUGACAAUUGUAGAAUAGCGAUAUUUAACAAGUAAUCGAUGAGAAUAUCUGAUCUAUCAACUAGUUGGUAGUAUCGAGGACUACCAAGGUUAUAACGGAUAACGAGGAAUUAGGGUUAGACAUCGGAGAGGGAGCUUUCAAGAUGGCUACCACUUCCAAGGAAGGCAGCAGCCGCGUAAAUUACCCAAUUUCAACAGAUAGAAGAGGUAGUGACGACAAAUAACUCACGACAUCCGUAAGCAUGUCUUGAAGGAAUGAGUAAGAAGCAAAGAGUCUUACGAAAUCAAUUGGAGGGCAAGUCUGGUGCCAGCAGCCGCGGUAAUUCCAGCUCC
RNAcentral lists this ribosomal RNA (539 nucleotides) under Entamoeba sp. RNAcentral describes it as "bacterial SSU rRNA". It matches the Rfam family "Eukaryotic small subunit ribosomal RNA", at positions 52 to 592 of the family's 1831-position model. The record is from RNAcentral. Lineage: Eukaryota; Evosea; Mastigamoebida; Endamoebidae.